This 29-nucleotide non-coding RNA is filed under the name Homo sapiens (human). Lineage: Eukaryota; Metazoa; Chordata; Mammalia; Primates; Hominidae. The record is from RNAcentral.
UACACAAGCACAGUUAGUUGGGUGAAGUC